RNAcentral lists this ribosomal RNA (424 nucleotides) under uncultured prokaryote. Its description in RNAcentral is "bacterial SSU rRNA". It matches the Rfam family "Bacterial small subunit ribosomal RNA", at positions 355 to 796 of the family's 1533-position model. The record is from RNAcentral.
UGGGGAAUCUUGGACAAUGGGCGCAAGCCUGAUCCAGCCAUGCCGCGUGAGUGACGAAGGCCUUAGGGUCGUAAAGCUCUUUCGCCAGGGAUGAUAAUGACAGUACCUGGUAAAGAAACCCCGGCUAACUCCGUGCCAGCAGCCGCGGUAAUACGGAGGGGGUUAGCGUUGUUCGGAAUUACUGGGCGUAAAGCGCGCGUAGGCGGACUAUUAAGUGAGAGGUGAAAUCCCGGGGCUCAACCCCGGAACUGCCUUUCAUACUGGUAGUCUAGAGUUCGAGAGAGGUGAGUGGAAUUCCGAGUGUAGAGGUGAAAUUCGUAGAUAUUCGGAGGAACACCAGUGGCGAAGGCGGCUCACUGGCUCGAUACUGACGCUGAGGUGCGAAAGCGUGGGGAGCAAACAGGAUUAGAUACCCCCGUAGUCC